Molecule: transfer RNA, 72 nt
Filed under: Tumebacillus permanentifrigoris
Lineage: Bacteria; Bacillati; Bacillota; Bacilli; Caryophanales; Alicyclobacillaceae
Description: tRNA-Gly
Rfam family: tRNA
About the family: Transfer RNA (tRNA) molecules are approximately 80 nucleotides in length.
Source: RNAcentral
GCGGUCAUAGCCAAGAGGUAAGGCGCCUGCCUUCCAAGCAGGUAAGCGCGGGUUCGAUCCCCGCUGACCGCU